RNAcentral lists this long non-coding RNA (815 nucleotides) under Malus domestica (apple). RNAcentral describes it as "long non-coding RNA (MDOM_LNC015369)". The record is from RNAcentral. Lineage: Eukaryota; Viridiplantae; Streptophyta; Magnoliopsida; Rosales; Rosaceae.
UGACUAACUGAUGUAUGAGACUGUCCCAAAAUUAACACUUUAGGUAUGACUCUGGGACGAAAAAAAUUUCAUGUACCAAAUGUUGAAAACCACAGAACUUGAGGGUAGUAAAUUGAUAUUCACCCAAUAUUAUAAUUCUGUGUGAGCGUGCUUUAUGUCAACUCGGCUUGAGAUGAGGGUUGAGAGAGAGAAAGAAACUGACUAUUGCUAGCCAUUGUGAAGUUUAUCCAACUCCCUCACCCCUUAGUGUAGAUAAUAUUGUUUGUUAAAAAAACAAAUAGUCAAAAACUAAGAGAGAUGAAUUUCUAGCGUGGUUGGGUCCAUACUAAAUGUAUGAAGUCUAACAAACAACCAAUUAGAACACAAUACCUAAUAUAGUUAUUUAAUUAAAUAUUUUUAAUUUUUGCGGUGCUGUUCGGUUUCGAUUCGGUUCCAAAAGGCCAAAACCGAAACCAAACCGUUUUCCUUCAUUGUGGUUCGGUUUCAAACUAAAACCACUUCAAAACUGCAAAACCAAACUGUUCAAUGCUGUCCGAUUUGGUUUAUGCUUCUGUUUCGAUUUUUGUGUUUCAAGUACCCACCCUAUGUGUGUGCAUAAAACGAUUAUAAUAAUAAUUUUAAAAAAAAUUAAUAACUGUUAGGUACAUGGCGAGUUUGAUAUCAAUUGAUUAUGGUUGACUUAUUAAGUGACUUAGCCCAAAUUUGCUCGUUCCAACACUAUUUUCAAAAUUUUAUUACCUAUCCCAUGUGUAAUAAACGUUAAGUACAAUAACAUUUAAGUAACUUUAACGAAAAACUUCCGGUAUUGUUCACUU